RNAcentral lists this ribosomal RNA (500 nucleotides) under uncultured bacterium. RNAcentral describes it as "partial 16S ribosomal RNA". It matches the Rfam family "Bacterial small subunit ribosomal RNA", at positions 30 to 523 of the family's 1533-position model. The record is from RNAcentral.
AUUGAACGCUGGCGGCAUGCCUUACACAUGCAAGUCGAACGGCAGCACGGGAGCAAUCCUGGUGGCGAGUGGCGAACGGGUGAGUAAAGUAUCGGAACGUGCCCAGUCGUGGGGGAUAACGUAGCGAAAGUUACGCUAAUACCGCAUACGAUCUAUGGAUGAAAGCGGGGGAUCGCAAGACCUCGCGCGAUUGGAGCGGCCGAUAUCAGAUUAGGUAGUUGGUGGGGUAAAGGCUCACCAAGCCGACGAUCUGUAGCUGGUCUGAGAGGACGACCAGCCACACUGGGACUGGGACACGGCCCAGACUCCUCCGGGAGGCAGAAGUGGGGAAUUUUGGACAAUGGGCGAAAGCCUGAUCCAGCCAUGCCGCGUGCAGGAUGAAGGCCUUCGGGUUGUAAACUGCUUUUGUACGGAACGAAAAGGUUUGGCCUAAUAAGCUGAGCUCAUGACGGUACCGUAAGAAUAAGCACCGGCUAACUACGUGCCAGCCGCCGCGGUAA